GAUGAACGCUGGCGGCGUGCCUAAUACAUGCAAGUCGAGCGAACGGACGAGAAGCUUGCUUCUCUGAUGUUAGCGGCGGACGGGUGAGUAACACGUGGAUAACCUACCUAUAAGACUGGGAUAACUUCGGGAAACCGGAGCUAAUACCGGAUAAUAUUUUGAACCGCAUGGUUCAAAAGUGAAAGACGGUCUUGCUGUCACUUAUAGAUGGAUCCGCGCUGCAUUAGCUAGUUGGUAAGGUAACGGCUUACCAAGGCAACGAUGCAUAGCCGACCUGAGAGGGUGAUCGGCCACACUGGAACUGAGACACGGUCCAGACUCCUACGGGAGGCAGCAGUAGGGAAUCUUCCGCAAUGGGCGAAAGCCUGACGGAGCAACGCCGCGGGAGUGAUGAAGGUCUUCGGAUCGUAAAACUCUGUUAUUAGGGAAGAACAUAUGUGUAAGUAACUGUGCACAUCUUGACGGUACCUAAUCAGAAAACCACGGCUAACUACGU
This 496-nucleotide ribosomal RNA is filed under the name uncultured bacterium. RNAcentral's name for it is "partial 16S ribosomal RNA". It matches the Rfam family "Bacterial small subunit ribosomal RNA", at positions 28 to 506 of the family's 1533-position model. The record is from RNAcentral.